This is a long non-coding RNA of Cyprinus carpio (common carp), 1900 nucleotides long. Lineage: Eukaryota; Metazoa; Chordata; Actinopteri; Cypriniformes; Cyprinidae. The record is from Ensembl.
AUGGCCCCAAGAAAUGCGCGUAAUAAUUUCUACAUUUUGGGCUCCGGUAGCGGGAAUGGCAACGCUGGGACCAAAGGCAUGUCGGAAUGGAUAGGCUUGUCCUUGUGCCGAAAAUGUGUUGACUUGGACGGAGUGUGGACCAAGUGUCUGAUAUCUGUUGGAAUUACAUUGCUCCUGGUGCCGUCCAUAUUUGCCAUAGACGAUGAAGCAAGACUCGAGGCAUCAGGACAACCCCUCAGUCCUUCCCAGGAUCCAACCGGCGGCCCAAACAUCACAGUCUCUUCGUCACUGCUGGAGGACGAAGACUUCGCCUCGCAGUACCACUCUCCAUCAGCGAGGGCAGAAAGCACAAGGGAGCAGCCUGUGUUUGCCUCGGUGCAGACCCUGCAGGUUGCAGAGACACAGCCUCAGGCGCUGGUGUAUUCUCUGCCCUCCCCACCCGGCAACAGUGACAAUCGCACCAAUCAAAAGUCCCCUGGGGAGCAGGCCGUCAAAGUGCCAAAUCCACCGUCCCCGGCACAUAAACUCAACAGUGUCUUGACCACUAGCUCAGACGAGACUCUUAGUGAAUUCCCCAGAAACCCUGAUCUUCCCACCGCCCCGGGAUCCUCUUUCAUGAUUGUGGCAGAGACAGAUGCUACACUCUCUGACAAUGUGACAACUUCAGUCUCCUUUUCCGCUUUUAACGGCACUUCUCCUGAAAGAGCUGAAAACGCUUCAUCCGGCGCUUCAGCAAGCAGCAACUCCCACACUGUGACCAGCGACAAUCUCCAGCUCACCACAGUGACCACCACGACUGUCACGCCCUUAACUGUGACAUCAAUGACUGUGACUCCACCCACUGCCAUUGUUGUGGCAAAAGAGGUCGCGACCACCAUACCAACCACCACAGCCACCCAGACCACAACAACCGAGACAGAACCACCAACGACAACCACCACUACCACUACAACAACUACCACCACCACAAAAGUAGCACCAACAACCACAAAAACACCCACAACCACUUUAGCAACGACAACCCCUCUUCAAACCACUGUUGUAUCUACCUCUGGAAGUACCACGACUGAACAGAGCACCCCUCCUACUGACAGUUCACCUUUGACCUGUAACGUGACCGAAAGAUUAUGGGUGAAAACAGUGUUGUCCAUCCAGAUGCGACGAAAUCGCCUAGAAGCUGGAAUGAGACAGAACCUGUAUAAAGGUUUCACGCAGACACUGCAGAGGGCGUUCAAUGACAGCAACGUCCGUGUUCAGGUUGGUGGUUUUGCAUGUGUUUUGAGCCGCAAGCCACUACACAGUAUAAAUAAGAAAGAAAACACCUACUAUAGAAGUUCAAAGGUUUGGGGUUUGUAAGAUUUUUUGUAAGAUUUUUUUAUGUUUUUGAAAGAAGACUCUUAUGCUUGCCAAGGCUGCAUUUUUUUAAAUCAGAAAUACAGUAAAAACAGUGUGAAAUGUUAUUAUAAUUUAAAAUAACUAUUUUCUAUUUUAAUAUAUUUAAGAUGUCAUUUAUUUCUGAUGCAAAGCUGAAUUUUCAGCAGCCAUUACUCCAGUGUCACAUGAUCCUUCACAAAUCAUUAAAAUAAUCAAGAAACGUAUCUUAUUAUUAUCAAUGUUAAAAACAGUUGUGCUGCUUAAUAUUAUAAAUAGAUUUUGAUUAUUUUUUUAAAGGAUUCUUUGAUGAAUAGAAAGUUCAAAAGAACAACAUUUAUUUGAAAUAGAUAUCUUUUGUAACAUUAUAAAUCAGCUUUUUUUUAAAAGGGCAAAUGAGGUAGGUUAUCCAAGAUUUAAUGCAUAAUUUAAAAAUAAUUAACUCUUCCACUAUCUCUUCCACUGCAAGUUCAACAUGAAAUGAGAAAUGCUAAAUAAAUAAUGAAAAGAACUAAUCGGAAUAGUUGGU